CGGGUGAGUAAUGCGUGACCAACCUGCCCCAUGCUCCAGAAUAGCUCUUGGAAACGGGUGGUAAUGCUGGAUGCUCCAACUUGACGCAUGUCUUGUUGGGAAAGUGUUUAGUGGCAUGGGAUGGGGUCGCGUCCUAUCAGCUUGUAGGCGGGGUAAUGGCCCACCUAGGCUUCGACGGUAGCCGGCCUGAGAGGGCGGACGGCCACAUUGGACUGAGAUACGGCCCAGACUCCUACGGGAGGCAGCAGGC
Molecule: ribosomal RNA, 250 nt
Filed under: uncultured Gardnerella sp.
Lineage: Bacteria; Bacillati; Actinomycetota; Actinomycetes; Bifidobacteriales; Bifidobacteriaceae
Description: partial 16S ribosomal RNA
Rfam family: Bacterial small subunit ribosomal RNA
Source: RNAcentral